Molecule: ribosomal RNA, 505 nt
Filed under: uncultured bacterium
Lineage: Bacteria
Description: bacterial SSU rRNA
Rfam family: Bacterial small subunit ribosomal RNA
Source: RNAcentral
GACGAACGCUGGCGGCGUGGAUUAGGCAUGCAAGUCGAACGGUAUCAUCCUUUCGGGGGUGAGAGAGUGGCGAACUGGUGAGUAACACGUAGGUUAUCUACCCUCAAGACGGGGACAACCCAGGGAAACUUGGGCUAAUACCGGAUGUGAGCAACUUUUAGUUGUUUGAAAGGUGGCGUAAGCUGUCGCUUGGGGAUGAGCCUGCGUCCUAUUAGUUAGUUGGUGAGGUAACGGCUCACCUAGGCAAUGAUAGGUAGGCGGCCUUAACGGGUGGUCGCCCACACUGGGAUUGAGAUACGGCCCAGACUCCUACGGGAGGCAGCAGUCGAGAAUAGUCUACAAUGGUCGGAAGACUGAUAGUGCGACGCCGCGUGAACGAUGAAUCCCUUCGGGGUGUAAAGUUCUUUUAUAUGUGAGCAGUGCUUCUUAUAUUAACAGUAUGGGGAGAGAGAUAUUAGCAUAUGAAUAAGCAACGGCUAACUCCGUGCCAGCAGCCGCGGUAAGA